CCACGGACCGCGAACC
RNAcentral lists this ribosomal RNA (16 nucleotides) under Musa ornata. Its description in RNAcentral is "partial 26S ribosomal RNA". The record is from RNAcentral. Lineage: Eukaryota; Viridiplantae; Streptophyta; Magnoliopsida; Zingiberales; Musaceae.